GCGGAGGGCCACUCCACUCUAUGGCACUCUGUACAUUUUAAAAAGGAGGAAUAAAAUUCCGUAGGCUCGCGGUGCGGCAGUGUGGAGACCUGUCGUAAUGUGGCAUACCCUAUACGGGUAGCCAUGAGGCGAUUUUGGCGGAGGCCGGGUCGCUAGAGUCGGAAAGUAUGU
This 171-nucleotide non-coding RNA is filed under the name bovine gut metagenome. RNAcentral describes it as "malK-I RNA". It matches the Rfam family "malK-I RNA". RNAcentral also lists the same sequence under 1 other name. The record is from RNAcentral.